This 190-nucleotide ribosomal RNA is filed under the name Staphylococcus pseudintermedius. RNAcentral's name for it is "partial 23S ribosomal RNA". The record is from RNAcentral. Lineage: Bacteria; Bacillati; Bacillota; Bacilli; Caryophanales; Staphylococcaceae.
UGAUAUUCCUGUACCACCAUCAUUCGUUUUCAGCGAUGGAGGUCGGCAGUUGGAUAGGCGUAGCGUGCUGUUGCAGUGCACGUCCAGGCAGGUAUAUGGAGGGUUGGGCAAAUCCGGCGCUCGUAGGAGUGAUCUGUAGUGGGGAGAUGACUUCUUCGCUCGAUGCGUUGAUGUCACACUGCCUCGAAAA